This is a long non-coding RNA of Lacerta agilis (Sand lizard), 263 nucleotides long. RefSeq lists it as uncharacterized. The record is from RefSeq and is a predicted model, not a curated record. The transcript has 3 exons. Lineage: Eukaryota; Metazoa; Chordata; Lepidosauria; Squamata; Lacertidae.
CGAGGAAGGAGCCUGGGAGGGUCUUGAGUCCUCCCUCCAUCUCCACCUGCCAUGAAGAUUUCUCCAACUUCCCUCGGUUCCCUCUUCCUUGCGGCCACCUUGGCCCUGGCUGCUGUUUGCCCAUUGGAAGCUGCCAAGGAGACUCAGGAUGAGGCUCAUGAUAAUACCAGAGCCCACUGCUGCCUUACAUAUGCAAAGAAACGAAUUCCAUGCAAGGAAAUAAAAUCCUACGAAUGGGCACCCAGCACAUGUGCCAAGCCGGC